UACUGGAGUUAGGCAAUGAGGAU
RNAcentral lists this non-coding RNA (23 nucleotides) under Cricetulus griseus (Chinese hamster). Lineage: Eukaryota; Metazoa; Chordata; Mammalia; Rodentia; Cricetidae. The record is from RNAcentral.